AAGUACGGUAUAGAUGGCCCCCACCAAAAAAUUUUUCGUCCGCACUUCAUUCGUAAAGUUUUAAUCGUCAAAAACGUGUUUCAGUUUUGCCGACCAACUUUUUUUUCGUGGACUAUUUUUCUUUUUUCUUCUAAGAAAAAUGAGAAACUACGUUAGAAAAACUGACAGAGUAAUGGUCCCGUCUGAUGUAAUUGACAGAGCAGUUGCAAAGGUGUUGGACGAGGGAAAAUCAGUUUAUAUUGUGGCUAUUCUUUUUAACAUUCCAAGAAGAAGUCUUACAAGAUUUGUUGAAAACAAGAAGAAGUCAGGUUUAGAAGAACAAAACAGGCCUAAUAGUGUUUCUCCAACCCAUCAUGGGUAUUCAUCUGCGCGCCAGGUUUUAAACAAGGAAGAUGAGGCUCUGCUAGCUGAUUACCUUCAUCGUUCAGCAGAUAUUUACUUUGGAUUGUCCCCAAUUGAUGUUAGAAAGCUGGCUUAUAAUGUUGCCACAAAGAGAAAUCUAAAAAUCCCACCUUCGUGGACUGAAAAACUUUCAGCUGGACCAGACUGGUUUGCAUCAUCCAUGAAACGCCAUCCUACUCUGGCAAUAAGAAAACCUGAGGCUACUUCCCUGGCAAGAACCUCAUCAUUUAACAUCCACAAUUGUGAUUUGUUCUUUGACAAUUGUCAAAGAUUGUUGGUGAGAGAAAAAAUUGGGCUUGAAUGCGUCUGGAACAUGGACGAAGUUGGUGUUACUACAGUUUCAACACCUGAAAAGAUCGUAGGUCGAAAAGGCCAGAAACAAAUAGGAUCAAUUGUUUCAGGAGAGAGAGGGGUGUUGGUUACGGUUUGUUGUGUAGUUUCCAGCUACGCAAUACUAUUCCACCCUUCUUUGUCUUUCCCCGAGUAAAUUUCAAGCUAAGACGGCUCUGUAGUAGGCCCUAUGUCGAAUGUAAGGCCAACUUGCCCCAACUCAAAGGGCAACUUGCCCCGGCGGUGGGAUAAGUUGGCCACUGAAAGUGUCGCAAUAAAACAGUUGUUUUGGCCUGUGAGGGACCGGUGUGUGAAAAGUGAGCCAACUAACCCCGGUCUCCCCUAGAUUUGGAAGUGUAAAGAAAUAACUCUUAUUAUCCUCAACAAUUCUACUG
Daphnia magna is the source of this 1127-nucleotide RNA transcript. RefSeq lists it as uncharacterized. The record is from RefSeq and is a predicted model, not a curated record. NCBI's taxonomy places the organism in Eukaryota, Metazoa, Arthropoda, Branchiopoda, Diplostraca, Daphniidae. The transcript is spliced from 6 exons.